Non-coding RNA from Phalacrocorax carbo (great cormorant), 715 nucleotides. The record is from RefSeq and is a predicted model, not a curated record. Lineage: Eukaryota; Metazoa; Chordata; Aves; Suliformes; Phalacrocoracidae.
UGCACCUCUGCUGCUGUGGUCAUGCUAACUCAGCAGUGGGUAUCUCCUGUGUCUUUCUCUACAGGGUCCCCCAAGGUCUGACAUUUCCAGUGGUCCAAAAAACUUCUCCACCUUGUGCAUUGGAAAAAACCCAACAGUGCCAGCUACAGAGUAAUUGCAGCUCCAGGAGAGGUCACAGCACACAUGCACCCUGCUCAGAAAGGAGACCCAGGACAAAGGCUGAGGAACAACAGGAACAAGCGCAGGAUGCUCUUAGGUGCAAACGGAAAGGCAAAAGCAGUUGACAGCCGCAUGGGAUUCUGCUGCAGACCAUCAGGAGCAGCAUGGGACAGUAACUGCUAAUCUGCAAAUCACCACGGUGUCGCCUUGGAAAAGAGGGAGAAAGGAAGAAUGAAAGGUGCUUUGGCCAAUUCUCUCCAAAACUCUUACCAGCCACGGUUCCUGCAGUCAAAGGAGAUGACUCCAUUCUCAUCUGGUAACCACUUUAUUCCUGAAGGGAGCAGCAAAAGGCGCAAUCAACACACAGACAGGCAGGCAUCUGUUCCCCGCUCCCCAGGCACCCGCACUUCUGCUGUUCACUGCUGAGACCCAGCUACACCACAGGGGCAUGCAAAUCUGGGCAGCAAUAGCAGCGGCCAUUCUGCAGAAAUACAAGCAGACCUGCAUGGUCUUUGGCAGUUCUCAGUAAAUUGUUUAUUAAAUUUCUAUUAAAAAA